This 677-nucleotide ribosomal RNA is filed under the name Sikukia gudgeri. Its description in RNAcentral is "partial 12S ribosomal RNA". It matches the Rfam family "Bacterial small subunit ribosomal RNA", at positions 512 to 1495 of the family's 1533-position model. The record is from RNAcentral. Lineage: Eukaryota; Metazoa; Chordata; Actinopteri; Cypriniformes; Cyprinidae.
CCACCGCGGUUAGACGAGAGGCCCCAGUUGAUAUUAUAACGGCGUAAAGGGUGGUUAAGGAUAGACAAAAAUAAAGCCAAAUGGCCCCUCGGCCGUCAUACGCUUCUAGGAGUCCGAAGCCCUAACACGAAAGUAGCUUUAAUAAACCAACCUGACCCCACGAAAGCUGAGAAACAAACUGGGAUUAGAUACCCCACUAUGCUCAGCCGUAAACUUAGGCAUCCAGAUACAAUUAGAUGCCCGCCAGGGUACUACGAGCAUCAGCUUAAAACCCAAAGGACCUGACGGUGUCUCAGACCCCCCUAGAGGAGCCUGUUCUAGAACCGAUAACCCCCGUUUAACCUCACCACUCCUAGCCACCCCAGCCUAUAUACCGCCGUCGUCAGCUUACCCUGUGAAGGGUACAAAAGUAAGCAAAAUGGGCACAACCCAGAACGUCAGGUCGAGGUGUAGCGCAUGAAGUGGAAAGAAAUGGGCUACAUUUUCUGCCACAGAAUAUUACGAACAUGUACCAUGAAAUAGUGCUUGAAGGAGGAUUUAGUAGUAAAAGGGAAAUAGAGUGUCCCUUUGAACCCGGCUCUGAGACGCGUACACACCGCCCGUCACUCUCUCCUGUCAAAACGCAUUAAAAAUAUUUAAUACAAAAGCACCGACAAGGGGAGGCAAGUCGUAACACG